This 323-nucleotide unclassified non-coding RNA is filed under the name soil metagenome. Its description in RNAcentral is "partial contains 5.8S ribosomal RNA, internal transcribed spacer 2, and large subunit ribosomal RNA". The stretch from base 1 to 120 matches the Rfam family "5.8S ribosomal RNA", at positions 35 to 154 of the family's 154-position model. The record is from RNAcentral.
GAUGAAGAACGUAGCAAAAUGCGAUAAGUAGUGUGAAUUGCAGAAUUCAGUGAAUCAUCGAAUCUUUGAACGCACAUUGCGCCCCUUGGUAUUCCAUGGGGCAUGCCUGUUCGAGCGUCAUUUGUACCUUCAAGCUUUGCUUGGUGUUGGGUGUUUGUCCUGAGGGACUCGCCUUAAAGUAAUUGGCAGCCAGUGUUUGGUUUUGAAGCGCAGCACAAGUCGCGAUUCAAGGCUAUACACCAGCUUCCACAAGCCUUUUUCACUUUUGACCUCGGAUCAGGUAGGGAUACCCGCUGAACUUAAGCAUAUCAAUAAGCGGAGGA